Molecule: ribosomal RNA, 256 nt
Filed under: Streptomyces sp. ISO587_OTU420
Lineage: Bacteria; Bacillati; Actinomycetota; Actinomycetes; Kitasatosporales; Streptomycetaceae
Also listed under: 1 other name
Description: partial 16S ribosomal RNA
Rfam family: Bacterial small subunit ribosomal RNA
Source: RNAcentral
ACGAACGCUGGCGGCGUGCUUAACACAUGCAAGUCGAACGAUGAAGCCCUUCGGGGUGGAUUAGUGGCGAACGGGUGAGUAACACGUGGGCAAUCUGCCCUUCACUCUGGGACAAGCCCUGGAAACGGGGUCUAAUACCGGAUAACACUUACCUCCUCCUGGGGGUUGGUUAAAAGCUCCGGCGGUGAAGGAUGAGCCCGCGGCCUAUCAGCUUGUUGGUGGGGUAAUGGCCUACCAAGGCGACGACGGGUAGCCG